RNAcentral lists this long non-coding RNA (688 nucleotides) under Helianthus annuus (common sunflower). RNAcentral's name for it is "hypothetical non coding rna". The record is from RNAcentral. Lineage: Eukaryota; Viridiplantae; Streptophyta; Magnoliopsida; Asterales; Asteraceae.
UUAUUUUUGGGAGAGCACGUAUACGAACGUGUAUGAUAUGCACGUUCGUCAAAAGGAAGACACGAGGGGUUUUUCGUUAGAUGGAUUUGUUUGGCCGUUUAAGAUGUGGAUUCUGGAGCUAUUUCCGGAAUUUAAACAAAAGAGGGGGUAUUUUGAAGGUCCGACCAUCCCGAGAUUUUUAGGAUGGAAAGAAGGACAUAGGCUAUUGAAGGUGAAUGUUGAUGGCAUCUUAGCCAAUGCGGUAAAGAUAUCUGAAUAUAAUCCCCUAAUGGCUAUACUACCAACUAUGUUCGAGGCCGAGACUGAGUGGUAUAGUUCAAGCUCGGAUUAUUUGGACCUUGAACGUCAAGUUUUUAAUCCUGCUAUGGCGACUGAAAUACCCCCUCAGAUUCAUAAUCCAAUCGGCCUGAGUCAAAACUACGGCCAACCACAUAAGGACUUCAUUGCCAGCUUGUUCGGCGAUGAUGAAGUUCAGGUGCCUCUAACGCACGGAUUUUCACCGGAAAUCCCGGUUCAUACAAACCAUGUUCCGUUAAAGACGGCUGAGUUUGAACGUGAUGCUGGUCCCGGUCAGUUUUCAUCGGGAUUUUAUUCUGAAGAGCAGCUUGUCUCUAAAUUUCAGUCAAUGAUGUUAUCAAACAACCGGGCAUUGACUGACAUGAUCAACUCGGAGUGGUCGCAGAAGAUG